RNAcentral lists this long non-coding RNA (914 nucleotides) under Medicago truncatula (barrel medic). RNAcentral's name for it is "long non-coding RNA (MTRU_LNC005560)". Lineage: Eukaryota; Viridiplantae; Streptophyta; Magnoliopsida; Fabales; Fabaceae. The record is from RNAcentral.
AUUCAGCUCCCCUAAGGUAGCAAUAUAUACAGAGUUACAUAGACAAAAAAAGAGAAUGUUUUAUUUAAUUUCACUGGAUACACAACAACGUUAUGAAUUUAACAACCAGAUGGAGAAAGAGUUAUGAUAACCCUUAUGAGUGAUGGUGUGGUGUUAGAACUUGGAAACAGACAAACACGAACAACAUGAACAAAUUAUUGGAAUUAGAUUCUUAUAUUAUUGAAGAAGAAGAAGAAGAAGAAGAAGAAGAAGAAGAAGAAGAAAAUUAAUCAUGGAAUGAUAAUGCUAUUUGGCACGUGUAUGUGUAUUUACCUCAAAAGUUGUAUGAUUGAUUGAUAUUUCCUAAAGUAACACAACAACAACCUCAUCUCAAAGGUCUCUACUGUCGCAUUGCUGAAUGGGGAUGGUGAAGUGAGUAACCAUGAGGUAAGAGUAGCUUUGUGGGGUACGUGCAUAUAAAAUCAACCAUGGGUGUGUGGUACUGGUACAUGUAGCUUAAUGGAUACUCAAGGGUAAAAUAAACUCAUAAUUCAAUUAUCCGUCAGUUAAUGAAUACGUAGACAUAUUUGUAUCUUCAAAUAUCUAUAUCCGUUAUGGUGAAAAACACCAUAACGUAAUUUUCUAAUGAACCUAAAUUAAAGGCUAAAAAUAUGAGGUGCAUAUUCUCCAUAACAUUAGUUGGUAAAAUUAAAGUGUUCAUCUUCAUAACUUCAUUACUUUAAUAAAAAAAGUGUUCAUGUUCAUGAAGCAACUAAUGCUAAAAGCUACUCCAUGGUUGCUAUAGACUGGAAAGUACACCACGUCUUCACAUACUUCGUUCUUAAAAUACACUAGUGUGUGCUUUCAUAGGAUUGAAGUCGUUUAAUUUUAAAAAAAUAUAUAUGCAUCAAACUAUAUAUUAACUUUUUCAAAGC